This 234-nucleotide long non-coding RNA is filed under the name Mytilus galloprovincialis (Mediterranean mussel). Lineage: Eukaryota; Metazoa; Mollusca; Bivalvia; Mytilida; Mytilidae. The record is from RNAcentral.
UUACAUAUUUUUUUGUCAAGUGCAACAUUUUGACACAGACACUGGAGCUAGACAUAACAAUCCUACAUUCUGGCAUGGUUGGUUAUACCAAUAUUUAGGUCAGCCUAUGGUUGAAUGUUUUUUUAGACUUCAUUCACUGUAAUAUCUGUUGUAUCGCUAUAUUUUUAUGUGUUUUUGAGUAUUAGCCAGGCCUGUAAUACUUGUGUAUUUAUUUUUACACAUCCUCAAGAAAAC